UGGCUCCCAGCUCCAUUCUGAGGAGUUGGAAUCCCACCCAGUCCUGUUGUUGUGAUCUCAAUUCAAGAGGAAGGUGUGAUAUGGCGUCUGUCUGGGUUGGACACCGAGGGACAAUGAGAGAUCAUCCAGGCUUUAACCCAUCUGUGGAUGCUGAGGCGAUUCAUAAGGCAGUCAGAGAAAUCGGUGAGUGAUGCUUUACAGCUCCUUUCUUAAUGCUAAAGCAGAUCAGGAAAGUUAAAUCCAAAAAUGCAUAGGUUCAAUUUGCCUAAGUUGCCUUAUCAAUUAGAGAUUGUAAGGCACUUAAAAAAAAAAAAAAAACAACUUUUUUUUUUCUGCCCACUCCACUGUGUAUGGAGUUUCCAGGCCAGGGAUCAGAUCUGAGCCCAGUUAGGACCUAUGCUGCCACGGAGACAACGCCUGAUCCUUUAAUGCUCUGUGCCCAGCAGGAGGAUCAAACCCGUAUCCUGGUGCUGCAGGGAUUCCACCAAUCCCCUCGUGUCACAGCAGGAGUUCCAAGGCACUUUUAAAAAUUAUGAAAUAAUUAGGAAAAGUAUAGGAAACCCAGUUCUAUUUAAUCUUAAUAUUUACUGUAUUUACUUAAUACUAAACACUACCAUCAGCACUGCCAUCUCAGCAUCAAUCAUUAUAGGUACAGUCCCUGCCGAUUCUGCCUGGAUCUCAUUCCUCAGAGAUAAGCAAGAGUUUAUUCCUAUGAAACUUUUAUUUAUUUAUUUGCUUUUUAGGGCUGUACCUGCAGUAUAUGGAAGCUCCCAGGCUAGAAGUUGAAUCAGAGCUACAGCUGCUGGCCUGCACCACAGCCACAGCAAUACGGGACCCGAGCCGAGUCUGCAACCUACACCGCAGCUCAUGGCAACGCUGGACCCUUAACCCACUGAGCAAGGCCAAGGAUCAAACCCGCAUCCUCAUGGAUACUAGUUGGGUGCAUUACUGCUGGGCCACAAUGGAAACUCCUAUUCCCAUGAAACUUUUAAUCCUGUAACUCCAUAUGUGUGUACAUAGGCUCAAACAGUAUCAGUUGAAAUCAUCCUGGAUAUAUGCUUCUGCAACUUGUUUUUCUCCCUUGACAUUAUGUUUUGGAGAUGUAGCCAUGUUGAUAUGUUGAGCUCUAGUUCAUUAAUUUUAACUGCAGAGUAGUCUAUUGAAUUAUUACAUCCUAAUUGAUGUAAUUGUAUUGAUGGAGCAUUUAAAUCGCCUGCAGUUCUUUCCUAUUACAGUAUAAAAAUACUGCAUUGAAUAGCAAUGUGCUUCUGCCUUGUGCACAUUUGCCAGCAUCUCUUAAAAUAUAAUGGUUGGAAUCUUUUGGUUGAAGGGGAUGUUUCUUUCCAAAUUAACUAGAAAUUUCCCCAGACUCCGUUCUCAAGUGAGUAUACAAAUUAGCAUUCCUACAGGCAAUAUGUGAGACUUCAUCUUGCCCCAUCUCCUCAUCAAUUCUUGCUGCAGUCAUCCUAUUCAGUUUUUCCCACUGAGUGGGUCUAAAAUGAUCUCAUUCUGUAUCUGUUUCCUUCCUCUUCUCCCUCCCCUUACUGAUGAGGUGAAGCAUCCUUUCUUCUUUAUUUGCUUCCUCUCCCAUGAAUUACUUCUUCACAUCUUUUAUCCAUUUUUUCAGUUGGCUGUCUUCUUUGUGCCGGGCAAGAUUUAUUUUAAAAUAAAUUCUUGGCGUUCCCAUCAUGGUGCAGCGUAAACGAAUCCUACUAGGAUCCAUGAGGAUGAGGGUUAGAUCCCUAGCAUUAUUCAGUGGGUUGAAGAUCUGGCGUUGCUAUGAGCUGCGGUGUAGAUUGCCGAUGUGGCUCAGAUCCCAUGUUGCUGUGUCUGUGGAGUAGGCUGGCCGCUGUAGCUCCAGUUGGACCCCUAACCUGGGAACUUCCAUAUGCGGCC
This 1896-nucleotide long non-coding RNA is filed under the name Sus scrofa (pig). RNAcentral's name for it is "lncRNA (ENSSSCG00055016052.1)". Lineage: Eukaryota; Metazoa; Chordata; Mammalia; Artiodactyla; Suidae. The record is from RNAcentral.